RNAcentral lists this long non-coding RNA (1033 nucleotides) under Ceratitis capitata (Mediterranean fruit fly). RNAcentral describes it as "uncharacterized LOC110119107, transcript variant X1". Lineage: Eukaryota; Metazoa; Arthropoda; Insecta; Diptera; Tephritidae. The record is from RNAcentral.
UAAAAAAUACAAUUCAAAUUUUUACUUUAAGACAUUUUAAGCCACAAAAUUUCAAAAGCAAUAAAGAUGAAGUAAACUAACGCAUUUGUUCAUUAACUGUAUUGGUUUUGAAUUGAAAAGAAAAAUGUUUUGUUAUUUGAUUUGAGUAUUUUUCAACUUAAGUUUUACAUCAUAUUCGGCCAAUAUCAUUAUGGGUGUGCAAAUUAAAGGGCACCUCCUAGUAUCUGGGCCGAGUGAAGGUUUUCAAAAACCAACGUAUAAUAAUACAAAAAUAAAACUUAAAAAUUGUAUAUUAAUAAUUAGUGCACACAAAUAAGAUUUGAUUGGUGCAGUCAGAGAAAAGUUUCACACUCAAGGUUUUGUUUUUGUUAGUGAAAGAGAUAAAGGAUUUUAAAACCGUUUCGAUAGACCAGGGUUCAAAUCAAAAUGGUUUCUGAAUAUCACUAACAAAAUGAAACAUAUUGAGUUGCCCGAGAAGAUACCAGUGACGUUUUAAAAGAAAGAGAAUACACUGACGUUGCAAGUUCAAGGUUAUAUAGUGGAUGUAACAACAGUUUCCAGGCAAGAUCUCUCAGUUUUUGGCGAGUCACCAAAUGUUGUGUACAUUGUCUUGGAGAAGUGGGUCGUUUUGAAGAUUCGUUUCUUGGAAGCAGACACCUGGAACCAAGUUCUAUUCUCUCGAAAAGUAAAUAAUACUUCCUUCACGGGAAAGGAAUCGCCGAAUGUUUGACUUUGUGGCCGGGUCUGCUAGUUUAAUUAUAAAACAAAACCAAAAUUCUGAAUCCGAAAUUUUGAUGUAAAAGGAGCUCCACGUUGUCGAAGGCCAAUAGUCGCAAAUGUCGAUAAAAUAAUGGAAAUCGUCAAGUCUGGCCAUCAGACGAGCACUGUUUCGAUUACCCAAUAAACUCUUUGGAAUCACUUGAAGAAUGGUGGAUACACCGAGAAACCUGUCCCAACGAAAGACAACAGCAUUAACCGAAUUUCAAUUUGUGAAUCGCUGCUGCAUCGUACUAAAAUCGAUCCAUUUCUAAAG